GAGAUCCAGCCCAGGCCGAUGGCCAUGGCGCGGCGGCACCCCUCCGGCCGGAUCCGCGCGGGCCCAGGCGUGCGAGCGGCCUCCUCUCUCCGCGCGGGCCCACGCGUGCGAGCGGCCUCCUCCCUCCGCGCGGCCUCGACGGCGGGACGGACCGGCGCGGGGCAGCUCGGGGCCUCGAGCUCGCCGGCCUGGAGCACCCACACAGCGGUGGUGCAGGAGGGGCGGCGCGGCGUGGGGUGCGGGUGGGGCGGCGCGGUGGAUUUAUCUAGCCAUGUGAUUUCUGUACUUCCAGGGAUUCCACGACUUCCUCCAGGAGAUGAUCUCGCUCAUGGCCACCAUCGGUAGAGAGGAGCGCGUGUACAGCCUGGGCGAGCUCCUUUCGCAAGCCAGCGCUGGCACCCCGUCCUCGCCGCCGUCGCUGCCCUGCCAGGGCCGUCCGGCAGCCUCAGCGCCCUUGUCUCCCUUCGUAGGUUCGUACAAACCUCCUCCUCUCACCAAUUACCGCUAUUCCCAUUUCUUCCCUCUUUCUGCAAUGGAAUCCGAGGUACCCCUCUCUCUAGGAAAUCCAAUGGUAUUCCAGCAAAAUUUCUUUUUAAGCACUGAAAGGGAUUUUACAGAUCCUCUGCCGCAAAUUUGUUGUUUCCCCCACUUAUGUGGCUGACUGCAUAAAUAUAGAAGUUUUUGGCAUCCCCGACCUCGAUCUGUUAUUACUGCCAUUAAAAGAAGAAUGCUAAAUUUCAUUUCCCAGCUUAUGCAAAGGUAUGUUAUGCUUCUUUCAUUUCCCAUAGUCUACCAUCUCUUCGAUCUUUCCAAAGAAACCAGAAAGCGCAAGCACAUGAAAAUGAAAUCCAGGAGCUUCAAUCGGCUGCAGAGAAGCUAAAUUUUUCUACUAAUUUGAUUCGCAUUAUGUAGACAAUGCCAUGUGAUUGCAUUAAUAGCUUAUUAUGCCUUUUUCUUUGGUGGGUUUAUUCUAAAAUUGGGUUUGUUAUUUUAAUUGAAUAUAGGAUUCUACAGCUUAUCCAUACGAUACUUUGCUCAUAACUUAGCCUUUCAUAUUAACAUGUGGAGGAUUUAAAGUAGUAUUGCAGGUCAUGAUUUGUUAAUGGUCGAGCCCCUUCAAAAUCUGACGAAAGGGACCUGCACAAACUUCAAUAAAUAAACUGUGUAUUUUUUCCUUCACAGAAAUCCAUUUCCCAACACUAAUUACUUUCCUCAAUCAGGCCAAAACCCCUGCUCAACUUCACAACAACAAAGAAGGUGGUGUAUGCAAGGUGAACAAAGAAACUGGAUAUAAUCUUUGUGUUCAGACUUCGUCGUGUGCUCCGAUGAUUAGCGGACCUUUACCUCACCAAGCUACAUCUGUAGCUACUAUCACAGCAGGCCAACAGCCAGGUCUGCCCAUCCCACAGCUCAUCAACAGAAUUGGAAGAAACCGAGCUACUGAGCUAUCCCUAACCAUAACUGCAGAAGACAACUCCCAGUUGCCUCUUGGAACUACUGAACAAGUUGAAGAAACAGCUGGCUUUACUGCUCCAGUCAUGUUUCAGCUCCCUUCCCUUGAGAUGACAAUCCCAUUGGUGGACACUUUCCUCGCUUUGUCAGUUCAGAUCCCGUUCAGUUAUAUACCCGUGGAGAAAUGUCGUCUUUAUCCUUUGUCUACCCAAAACAGAAACAAGUUUGAAGGAAAGAGCGUCCAAGACCUUGAUGCUUCAAUUGAUUCCCCCUGUCGUACUAACAGUAAUCCAAACAAUUGAAGCUGUUGUGUUCCUAGCUGGACACUACCUGGUGAUUCUAUGCCUGUUCCUUCGAAAAUUCUUUGCAAACUAUUAAACCAAGGAUCCUUUGUAGAUUGCAGAAUAGCUUGCUCCAAUGGUACCUCUCUAACACCAGAAAAGAACACAAAAAUUGAUCUUCUUUAUGCUACCUAAACUAACAUCUUAUAUUUAGAACAUCAUUUUUAUGCAGGAUGAAACAGGAUGACAAGAGCAAUCAUCUGUGGAAUCAGAUUUCGUCCAUUUUAAAAUGCCCUCUUGGACCGCAUAUUGAGCAACUUAGCUUACCAUGUAACCAACAUUUCCUUUAGUAUGCCAUGCUGAUGCUAAACAUGGUUACCAGCUGCCAUGACUUCUAUUUAUUUGCACCUUUAACUUCCUAGACCUUGUACUAUAUGCAACCUUGGUUCCUAAUGUAUCUUCUUGUUGUAUUACCUGUGUGAUUUAUGUCAUUUACAGUAAAUGAGCUGAUGAACCUUAUGUACCAGUUCUCGGCUAUCAGCGAACCAACAUAUCAACUCCUGAAUUUAUAUUCUA
Molecule: RNA transcript, 2309 nt
Organism: Panicum virgatum (switchgrass)
Lineage: Eukaryota; Viridiplantae; Streptophyta; Magnoliopsida; Poales; Poaceae
Exons: 4
Source: RefSeq, a predicted model, not a curated record